GCAAGUCGAGCGUGAAACUUCCUUCGGGGUGAGCGGCGGACGGGUGAGUAACGCGUGGGAAUAUGCCCUUCUCUAAGGAAUAGCCUCUGGAAACGGAGAGUAAUACCUUAUACGCCCUUUGGGGGAAAGAUUUAUCGGAGAAGGAUUAGCCCGCGUUAGAUUAGGUAGUUGGUGGGGUAAUGGCCUACCAAGCCUACGAUCUAUAGCUGGUUUGAGAGGAUGAUC
This 225-nucleotide ribosomal RNA is filed under the name uncultured bacterium. Its description in RNAcentral is "partial 16S ribosomal RNA". It matches the Rfam family "Bacterial small subunit ribosomal RNA", at positions 57 to 305 of the family's 1533-position model. The record is from RNAcentral.